UACGUAGGUGGCAAGCGUUAUCCGGAAUUAUUGGGCGUAAAGCGCGCGCAGGCGGUUUCUUAAGUCUGAUGUGAAAGCCCACGGCUCAACCGUGGAGGGUCAUUGGAAACUGGGGAACUUGAGUGCAGAAGAGAAAAGCGGAAUUCCACGUGUAGCGGUGAGAUGCGUAGAGAUGUGGAGGAACACCAGUGGCGAAGGCGGCUUUUUGGUCUGUAACUGACGCUGAGGCGCGAAAGCGUGGGGAGCAAACAGG
This 253-nucleotide ribosomal RNA is filed under the name uncultured bacterium. RNAcentral describes it as "partial 16S ribosomal RNA". It matches the Rfam family "Bacterial small subunit ribosomal RNA", at positions 524 to 776 of the family's 1533-position model. The record is from RNAcentral.